RNAcentral lists this transfer RNA (68 nucleotides) under Mogera wogura (Japanese mole). Its description in RNAcentral is "tRNA-Thr". Lineage: Eukaryota; Metazoa; Chordata; Mammalia; Eulipotyphla; Talpidae. The record is from RNAcentral.
GUCUCUGUAGUAUAAUGAUUACCCUGGUCUUGUAAACCAGCAAUGGGGACCCAAAACCCCCUGAGACA